This 714-nucleotide ribosomal RNA is filed under the name Triticum aestivum (bread wheat). RNAcentral's name for it is "partial small subunit ribosomal RNA". The record is from RNAcentral. Lineage: Eukaryota; Viridiplantae; Streptophyta; Magnoliopsida; Poales; Poaceae.
AUGCCACCUUUGCUAGCGGCGGCCAGCGGGUCUCCAUGGGCAUCGCUGCCAGAAGAUCUGGUUCGCCUUGUUGGCUGGCGCUUGCUGUCCGGCGACCUGACGGACUAUGUCCGCUUCCGUGCUGCCUGCACCAAUUGGCGGUCUGCCACCAAGUCUCCGUGUGGCCGUGGCAUCAUUGAUCCACGUUUUCACCCGCGCCGCUGGAUGAUGUUCGCUGAGGGCCACGGGCUUUAUCCUGGCCAUGAAAGGCUCGGUGAACACACACGCUUCUUCAACCUUGACUCUGGGGUUUUAGUUCGCGUCCGGCUCCCGCUGUUCAAGGAUCACUGUGUUCUUGACUCGGUCGAGGGCCUCCUGCUCCUCCAGCGAGACGAGGACACGGCCAUCCGCCUCCUCCACCCUUUCACCGGUGAUAUUGUUGAGCUCCCACCACUAGCGUCUCAUAACUUGCACAUGAGUCAUCCAUAUGCGAACCUGCCACAGCUGAGACGCAUGUCCGCUUCUGUUUCUAUUGAUGCCGGAGUCGUGAGGGUGAUGGUUAUCUUCAUUCACCUGAUGUAUGCGGCUGUUGCCACCUCCCAGGAUACUAAAUGGACUUUUCUAAUGCAUUGGAGACUUCCAAGUCAUUAUGGACCGUUGUCGUUCCGAGGCAAGCAAUACCUGGUGCAUCAGACUAUGAAUAUGGAAAAUACUUAUUUAUCACAGAUUUUUUAG